Molecule: long non-coding RNA, 981 nt
Filed under: Heterocephalus glaber (naked mole-rat)
Lineage: Eukaryota; Metazoa; Chordata; Mammalia; Rodentia; Bathyergidae
Description: lncRNA (ENSHGLG00000047878.1)
Source: RNAcentral
AGCAGCUUGGGGUGGUCAGGGUGGAGUUUCAACUUGAUUGGCUUUGAGAUCUGCCCCAGAGAUUGGCGGAGCACAUUUCUAGGUGUGUCUGGCGAGUCAUGCAGGAAUGGCCUUGGGGUGCAUAUCUGGUCCCUCACCACUUCUACUCUGGCACUUUUCCCUCCCUCUGCUUCCUGGCCACCAUGAACUAAACAGCUUUGCUCUGCCAUGAUGCCUCUGGAUUGGAGCCAGCUGAUCACAGACUGAAGCCAUGAACAAAUUAAACGUUUUCUCCUUUAAGUUGUGAGCAUCUCAUAUUGUGUCCAACAAUGGGAAAGCUGACUAAUACAGGGAUCGAGCAGCAGGCGGCAAAACCACUGAGCUAAAUCCCUGGGCCAAGUCUCUGUUUUUCUUAAUCAUCUGCCUAGAUGUACUCAGAGGUCUACAAAACUCGCCCACCAAUCCAUUUGUUCAUUGAAUCUGAAAACGACUCUGUGAGUCUCAUUUUCCAGAUGAGGGAAGGUGAGGCUGAAACCAAGAUGACAGGGACUGGCGUGGAGGUACUCAGUGCUAGCUGUCCUGGGAAGAGCUUACUGCGUGCUGAGCCCUUGUCUGUAUGAAGUUGUUUCAACCUCGCAGUUCUGUUGAGGGUCGAGCCCAGGCUGGCCUUUCACUUGCAGUCCUCCUUUCUCAACUCCACAGUGCUGAGGCCAAGACACGCACCACCACGCCCAUCUCUUGAACAUCUCCGGGACAUUUAUACCCGUGCUGUGACAUUGGUACAUUCACACUGUUGAGCAACCCUCCCUCCCUAUCAUCCCGCUCCAGAAAAGUAGAAACUCUGUAUCCACUGGACAAUAAAUCACCUUUCUUCCUCCCAGCCCCAGCAAACCGGCAUUUUAUUUUCUGUCCCUAUGAAUUUGGCAACUCGAAGUGCUUCGUAAAAGUGACAUCAUAAUAUAUUUGUACUUUUGUGACUGGCUUAUUUCACUUGGCGAAAUG